Molecule: ribosomal RNA, 331 nt
Filed under: Trypanosoma avium
Lineage: Eukaryota; Euglenozoa; Kinetoplastea; Trypanosomatida; Trypanosomatidae
Description: partial small subunit ribosomal RNA
Source: RNAcentral
CGCUACGAACCCUUUAACAGCAACAGCAUUAAUAUACGCUUUUGGAGCUGGAAUUACCGCGGGUGSUGGCACCAGACUUGUCCUCCAAUUGUUACUCGAUUUUCGAUGGAUUUAAAUAUCCCCCAUUGAAAACGACAAUACCAAAAGGUACUGUCGGCUCUAUUUCUUUUCGCUGCCUCAUCGUUUUUUUUUGACAUUGGGCAAUUUGCGCGCCUGCUGCCCUCCGUAAAAGUGGUAGCUAUUUCUCAGGCUCCCUCUCCGGAAUCSAACCCUAAUCCCCCGCUCCCGUCAACGCCAUGGCAGUCCACUACACGGCCAUCGCUGGCUGAUA